Molecule: ribosomal RNA, 252 nt
Filed under: uncultured bacterium
Lineage: Bacteria
Description: partial 16S ribosomal RNA
Rfam family: Bacterial small subunit ribosomal RNA
Source: RNAcentral
UACGUAGGGUGCUAGCGUUAUCCGGAUUUACUGGGCGUAAAGCGUGCGCAGGUGGUCUUUCAAGUCGGUGGUUAAAGGCUACGGCUCAACCGCAUUCAGCCGCCGAAACUGGAAGACUUGAGUGCAGGAGAGGAAAGUGGAAUUCCCAGUGUAGCGGUGAAAUGCGUAGAUAUAAGGAGGAACACCAGUGGCGAAGGCGACUGACUGGUCUGUGAUUGACGCUGAGGCACGAAAGCGUGGGUAGCAAACAGG